Molecule: ribosomal RNA, 647 nt
Filed under: uncultured Porphyromonadaceae bacterium
Lineage: Bacteria; Pseudomonadati; Bacteroidota; Bacteroidia; Bacteroidales; Porphyromonadaceae
Description: bacterial SSU rRNA
Rfam family: Bacterial small subunit ribosomal RNA
Source: RNAcentral
GGAGUAGCAAUACAACUGGUGGCGACCGGCGCACGGGUGAGUAACGCGUAUGCAACCUACCUAUCAGAGGGGAAUAACCCGGCGAAAGUCGGACUAAUACCGCAUAAAACAGGGACACCGCAUGGUGAUAUUUGUUAAAGAAAUUCGCUGAUAGAUGGGCAUGCGUUCCAUUAGGUAGUUGGUGAGGUAACGGCUCACCAAGCCGACGAUGGAUAGGGGAACUGAGAGGUUGGUCCCCCACACUGGUACUGAGACACGGACCAGACUCCUACGGGAGGCAGCAGUGAGGAAUAUUGGUCAAUGGGCGAGAGCCUGAACCAGCCAAGUCGCGUGAAGGAAGAAGGAUCUAUGGUUCGUAAACUUCUUUUGCAGGGGAAUAAAGUGCAGGACGUGUCCUGUUUUGUAUGUACCCUGAGAAUAAGGAUCGGCUAACUCCGUGCCAGCAGCCGCGGUAAUACGGAGGAUCCGAGCGUUAUCCGGAUUUAUUGGGUUUAAAGGGUGCGUAGGUGGUUUGAUAAGUCAGCGGUGAAAGUUUGCAGCUUAACUGUAAAAAUGCCGUUGAAACUGUCGGACUUGAGUGUAAAUGAGGUAGGCGGAAUGCGUGGUGUAGCGGUGAAAUGCUUAGAUAUCACGAAGAACUCCGAUUG